UGAGGAAUAUUGGUCAAUGGGUGCAAGCCUGAACCAGCCAUCCCGCGUGAAGGACGACUGCCCUAUGGGUUGUAAACUUCUUUUGUAUAGGGAUAAACCUACCCUCGUGAGGGAAGCUGAAGGUACUAUACGAAUAAGCACCGGCUAACUCCGUGCCAGCAGCCGCGGUAAUACGGAGGGUGCAAGCGUUAUCCGGAUUUAUUGGGUUUAAAGGGUCCGUAGGCGGACUUAUAAGUCAGUGGUGAAAGCCUGUCGCUUAACGAUAGAACUGCCAUUGAUACUGUAAGUCUUGAGUAUAUUUGAGGUAGCUGGAAUAAGUAGUGUAGCGGUGAAAUGCAUAGAUAUUACUUAGAACACCAAUUGCGAAGGCAGGUUACCAAGAUAUAACUGACGCUGAGGGACGAAAGCGUGGGGAGCGAACA
Molecule: ribosomal RNA, 422 nt
Filed under: uncultured bacterium
Lineage: Bacteria
Description: bacterial SSU rRNA
Rfam family: Bacterial small subunit ribosomal RNA
Source: RNAcentral